CCCGUUGAUCUGCUUCAGGAGCCCAAAAUAAAAUAGCUGAAAUGCACCGUUUGCUGCCCGGAACUGCUCCAAAUGGUUCAAAUAUUCCUCCCACGACAUGGUGUCGUUUUGGCGCUUCGGCCAGCAAAAACCUAGCUAUUUAAACUCAUUUUUCUUUCUUUCUCUUCAUUUCCCACUUCCUCAUUCUCUUACUAACAGCCACUCUCUCACUUCUCUCUAACCCACACGAAUAAAACCCUAGCCACCAACGUUCUACCACCGUUUUCCACCACUAAACGGUUGGAUUCCCUUUACCCACAGCCCCAAGCGGUAUCUAAGCCCUCAAAUGUUUAAAACUCUCCUCCCAAAACAAACCUUCAAAACCAAAAAACGUUGGCAACGUUGGCUCUUAUUUUUUGUUUCUUUGU
Molecule: long non-coding RNA, 407 nt
Filed under: Theobroma cacao (cacao)
Lineage: Eukaryota; Viridiplantae; Streptophyta; Magnoliopsida; Malvales; Malvaceae
Description: long non-coding RNA (TCAC_LNC001184)
Source: RNAcentral